Molecule: long non-coding RNA, 708 nt
Organism: Mastomys coucha (southern multimammate mouse)
Lineage: Eukaryota; Metazoa; Chordata; Mammalia; Rodentia; Muridae
Exons: 2
Source: RefSeq, a predicted model, not a curated record
CCCAAGUACAGAAAAGGACCUCUCCACUUGCCCUACCGAGGACUUGGCUCCCUUGACUGUAUUAGUGCCGGACUGCAACCUUGAACCUGACUCGGAGACAGUGGUGGGGCAACAGGGCCGGAGAUCACUGGAGUCUGGGAAAACUAUCCCACUCUCCUCCAGUGGCAGAGCUGUGGCGACCGACUGUCAGGCGCAGCUAAGGGACAGCCUUCUACGAGGAGGAAAGCAAGAGGCCACAGUGACCAUCAAGAACUAGGAGCAGAAGGCAGUGCAUGGGAGCAGCGUGAUCCAGAAAUGAGCUAGUGAGCGUGGACGGCGGUGACUACGGGUGAAACAGGAAUCAAUGUCAGAGACGGAUGUCUCCCGGGAGAAGGCAGGCUCAAGUAACAUCGCCCUGAAGAGACUGUAGACGGUAAGCUUCACCCAAGGAAUGGAGUCCAGACAGCUCAGGAGGCGACCUCUUUGAGUACUGCUAGAAAGAGAUGGGUGCAGGAGUGACACUAAAGGGACCUCCAACUCAACUCCCCGCCCUGCUGAAGGUGGCUGCAGUGACCCCAGCUACCUGCCAGUAAUGACCUCCUCUCAUGAUCAAAAUUAUUUUCCAUGAUUGGCCACACAAACGGAAGCAGGACGACAUUUAGAAGAAUAAAGGGCUGUCAGGCGAGGCUUGGGUUGUGGGGUGUGACAUUGUGACUGGCAGUUUCGUUA